RNAcentral lists this ribosomal RNA (466 nucleotides) under uncultured bacterium. Its description in RNAcentral is "partial 16S ribosomal RNA". It matches the Rfam family "Bacterial small subunit ribosomal RNA", at positions 28 to 507 of the family's 1533-position model. The record is from RNAcentral.
GAUGAACGCUGGCGGCGUGCUUAACACAUGCAAGUCGAACGAGGAAGCCCAGCUUGCAGGGUGGAUUAGUGGCGAACGGGUGAGUAACACGUGAGUAACCUGCCCUUAACUCUGGGAUAAGCCUUGGCAACUGGGUCUAAUACCGGAUAGGAGCGACCACCGCAUGGUGGGUGGUGGAAAGAUUUAUCGGGUUUGGAUGGAGUCGCGGCCUAUCGGCUUGUUGGUGAGGUAAUGGCUCACCAAGGCGACGACGGGUAGCCGGCCUGAGAGGGUGACCGGCCACACUGGGACUGAGACGCGGCCCAGCCUCCUCCGGGAGGCAGCAGUGCGGAAUAUUGCACUAUGGGCGCAACCCUGAUGCAGCGCCGCCGCGUGGGGUAUGACGGCCUUCGGGUUGUAAUCUACUUUCGUCAGGGACGAAGCGAAAGUGACGGUACCUGGAUAAGAAGCACCGGCUAACUACGUG